GCCUCGCUGGCCCCGGCCACCAGUUCCCGGUCCCGCCGCCCGCUCUUCGUCACAGAGUUUCCCGUGGGUCAGAAGCCCCCUCCCGCCUAGAUGGGGAUGGGAAAGGGAGAGGAAGAAGAGAGAGGUCGAAAGACAGUACCCCAAAGUGCCCUGCAUUUGCUCUUUGAACAAAGUUCUGUUUGUUGAUGGACUGACCGGCUCACUGACGUAAAGAUGGGGAGCAAACAGAGGGACAGAUCAAGGCCCUUCUUUGGCGCCUGGAGGAAGAGGGGCGAGUGCUCUGGACGCCAGUCACAUCCUCCCCUCCCCCUCUUACCACCUGGCAAUACUGACCUAUUCUCCAUCACUCUUUUCCAGCAGUGGGUGGCAGCCUGAGAAAAUUCUAAAGGCCAGCAUGGUCUGCAGCCUGGAGAGACACAGAGUACAGAUCAGAGGGGCAAACUCAAAUGUCUAUAGAGGCCAAGAAUAUACUGGAUGUCAAUAGAACAGACUGGGGGUAAGACAUAUGGAUCCCUCUGGAUCCUUUUUCUUUUCCCUACUUUGUAGAAC
This is a long non-coding RNA of Bubalus bubalis (water buffalo), 549 nucleotides long. RefSeq lists it as uncharacterized. The record is from RefSeq and is a predicted model, not a curated record. NCBI's taxonomy places the organism in Eukaryota, Metazoa, Chordata, Mammalia, Artiodactyla, Bovidae. The transcript has 4 exons.